CACAGGUGCUGCAUGGCUGUCGUCAGCUCGUGUCGUGAGGAUGUUGGGUUAAGUCCCGCAACGAGCGCAACCCUUAUCCCUAGUUGCCAUCAGGUAAAGCUGGGAACUCUGGGGAGACUGCCGGUGAUAAACCGGAGGAAGGCGGGGAUGACGUCAAGUCCUCAUGGCCCUUACAUCCCGGGCUACACACGUGCUACAAUGGCAGGUACAGAGGGCUGCGAAGCCGCGAGGUGGAGCGAAUCCCAGAAAACCUGUCUCAGUCCGGAUUGAAGUCUGCAACUCGACUUCAUGAAGGCGGAAUCGCUAGUAACCGCGAAUCAGCAGGUCGCGGUGAAUACGUUCCCGGGCCUU
This 351-nucleotide ribosomal RNA is filed under the name uncultured Latescibacterota bacterium. Its description in RNAcentral is "bacterial SSU rRNA". It matches the Rfam family "Bacterial small subunit ribosomal RNA", at positions 1033 to 1382 of the family's 1533-position model. Lineage: Bacteria; Pseudomonadati; Candidatus Latescibacterota. The record is from RNAcentral.